Molecule: long non-coding RNA, 1614 nt
Organism: Amphiprion ocellaris (clown anemonefish)
Lineage: Eukaryota; Metazoa; Chordata; Actinopteri; Pomacentridae
Source: Ensembl
CGCAGAUGUGCCUAGACAAGUGUUCUCGCUCCACCCACAUUUAUCGAUACUGCAUCGGACCAGACUUGUGCGGACUUGGGGCGGCCAAAUAACCCAUAAUGCAUUUCGCGCCGACCAGCGUUCAAAGGCCCAGGAGGAAACUUUCAGAGAGACAUCUGAAGAAACCCGGAUCCUCACUGACUGCUGGGAGACUCCACAGAGCUCCAUCUUCAGCAUCUGGACCAGCAGGAUGCUGUUCAUGGAAACUGAAGGAUUGAAAAUGCUGAAUUGUAUUUAAGCAGUUUGCAUUAAAUAUUUUUCAAUUGUGUUCAAAAAAUGAAUUGAAUUGUUGAAGCCAGAAGUAAAUGUUCCUCUAACAUCAGACCUGUUUGAUCAGAUGCUGCUGAUGUUUGAAAAGGUUUCUGGUUUAUUACCUGACAGGCAGAAGAAGAGCUCACCUGUAGGAGCUCACCUGUAUUGAGGCUCUGAGUACAAUAGUUAACAUGAAAUAUUCUCUCAUCAAUGAGUGAUGAUGUUCAGCAUGCAGAAGUCCUGGUGAUCACAUUAAAGUGUAGUGAUGUUUGUGUAUCUGUCAGACUAUAAAUCUCUGGAUGUUGGAGGACAAACAUCAGGAGCUGUUGGGCCAGGUGGCUGGUGGCUGACUGAUUCCCCCGGCGGUGGUAGUCCCUUCACUCCCUGUAUAGUAGUGCACUUGGGUGUCCGUCAAUGGUUUUGUUUUGUUCGCGUGUCAUCAGGACCCUUCCCUUCCCCCCUUCAGUUAGUCAUCCCUGCCUGGAGCUGUUGGGCCAGGUGGCUGGUGGCUGACUGAUUCCCCCGGCGGUGGUGGUCCCUUCACUCCCUGUACAGUAGUGCACUUGGGUGUCCGUCAAUGGUUUUGUUUUAUUCACAUGUGGUGUGGUGCAUCAGGACCCUUCCCUUCCCCCCUUCAGUUAGUCAUCUCUGCCUGGUAAGCCCUCAGCCCUGUGCCUAGUGACUGUCUUUCGGUGGCAAACUUAACUAAUCCAGGGGGGCCCCUGGAGGAUUAGAUUAAUAUUGUGCCACUUACUACCGAGUUAUUUCUUGGCAUCACCACCAAGGGUUUUUUAGUGAGGAAAGAGUGUAAAUUUUUAAAUACUGUUAAUAAAUUUCAUUUUUCUAUACUUUAUUUGGAAUCGCGUCAGUCUCUGGUGUCUGUCGUACCUGUGUGACCUUUCCUUUGUCUGUAUUGGAGCAGUGGUCCUCUCUCCAUAGAUCUCCUGGGGGUGAAAUUCCCCCAGGUGGCGUUGUCGGACAUGUGAUAAAUAACAAAAGUACAUUCAAUCCCUCGUACCCUUGCCACAUGUGCAGUAACUCAAUCUUUCCUCGUUUUAGUUCACCGACGGCUAGUUUAGAUGUUUGAGGACAGUUUCACGAUGCACGGAAUCUCCGCACACCGCAUUGCAUUUGCAUAAAGUAGAAGUCCAGUCUACUUUAUGCAAAUGAGCUGCAGGCCCGCUCCGGGUAAACACACUGGACCACAGCUGGAAACGAACCGCAACCGGACCAGCAUGCAACUGCGAUGUGUUUCCAGCUGCGAGCCGGUGUGUAAGUUGUUUAUGUUGUGUCAACUGCUGCACAAUAAAAUGUGAAUUGAAA